UUUAAAAUAGUGCAAAAUGGAGCAACUGAACUUAAAUAAGUUAUUAUUAACUUAUCAUAGCUAAUCUUUAUUCACAUCACAUGGAUGGCAUGGCUACCAAGCCCUAUUAUACAACAGCAACAGAUAUACUUGGUGUCUUUUAUUUUCAUCACACAUGAUACAUGUACUUUUAUUUCAACAUUGAUCGGUAGUGGUAAUCUUACAUAUUAAGUAAUUCGAGGUGCUCGUACAACCUUGCCCUGGGUAUUAACCCAGACCCAAACCCUGUCGCACCUGAAGUCCUCGGUCACAGGUGUUCCUUCCAGCAAAACUAUUGCAUUUACUAGUGGAUUCUCUUUUUCUAUCUUCGCUGCUGCAACCUCACCGUUGUAUCCCACCAGCUCAGGCCAUUCGCUUUUACCUUAACACAACAAUUUCAUAAAUAUUCAUUCAUUAGACAAUUCUAUAAAAGUUAUUACUUUGGAGAAAUUAGAUACUGACCUUGACAAAAUUCUGCCAUUAUGCUUGUGUAGUGCUUCAAUGGUUGCGUUGCUAUUCCAACGUAUGGAGUAUAAAUAGGCUGAUAUUAGUCGGCCAGUGUUGAUUUCACAUUACAUUUUGUCGAUUGUUUUGUUUGAUUGUUGACAUUGAUACAAAUUUUUUUUGUCAAACAUAUCACAUUGGUUCUUAGAAUGAUUUUUCUGGGUCAGACUAAUCUAUCUACAGUCCAAACAUAUGGCGUUGAUUUUGUUGUGCAUAUCAGGAUAUGUACAGUAUGUUUGAUCAUUGAUGAAAGAGUAGUACAAAUACAUCAUGUAUAUUGUUUUAUUAGAUUUCAAAUGCAAACACAUUGUCUCUGUGUAAUCGGAUGUAUAGGAUUUCAGUCUAACCAAUUCGAGGGACCUGCGCUACCUUCCAAUUGGAAUCGACCCAAACCCAGACCCUGUUGCACUUAAAGUCCAUAGGUACUAUUUCCAUCCCUUUCAUUACCACUUCUGCGUGGACCGAAUUAUUCUCUCUCUCAAUCCUAACUGCUGCUUCAUGCCCAUCAACCCCAACCAGCUCCGGCCAAAUCUGUUUUCCUGUACAUGGGAAUUCUCUCAUUAUUUAUAGAUUACAACAUGCAAAAAUAUGAUCAUUUGAACAGUUCUAUAUUAAUCGUUUUGGUUUAAUAACAACCGACUUACAGGAACGACUUGCACUGACUUACCUUUGCAGUCUAUAUUAAUCAUUUUGGUUCUGUGUGUUAUUCAAUGGUCACAAAGAUUAAUUAGCAAGAGUAUAAAUAGGAUUAAGGAUUAGUAUAGAUGACAUCAGAUGUGGUCGAUUGUUUCACAUUUUCAUACAUACAUACGAAAGUCACAACAAGUAUGUCUGUAUGUGAAUGCUUGUCAUUGCAUCCAAAUUGGGUACGUCUUCUCUACAUGCCUAACAACAGGUUGAUUACUUGAUUUUGUCAUGGUUAAUUGAUCCCUGACAUUUACUACUUUUGGUUGUGCACUUCUCUUCAACACGACAUGGGUUAUCUGUCCGUGCAUGAGAGCUUUUCCAUUGUUGAAAGAUUAUGUAAAAUGGAUGUUGGUUGGAGGUCAAUAUCUAACCAGAUACUUGAGUCCGCUAGAACAUUUUGACUAACAUUUCCUCGAACAAUUUGGCUGCUUGAUUCCAUUGACCUGACUCACAUAGGCCAUGAAUCAAACAAUUAUAAGUGAUGAUAUUCGGGCGAAUUCUUCGAGUAUGCAUCUCUAGGAGAAGUUUUACAGCCUCUGUCACCAUUCUAGCUUUGCAAAGAUUGUCGAUGAUCGAGCAUAAAUAGUUACAUCGGAUUUAAUCCCUUUCUUUUUCAUUCUUCCUAGCAAAUCAGUGAGCCAUUUAUUCAAUACAUUUUAACUCAGUACAUUACGGUGCGAGCAGCAUUUUCGUCCACACAAUGUGACUAGGACAACUUGGUAACUGGUUAUGCAAUUCUUAUUGUUUCUUUUAGUUUUUCAGUCAAACAUACAGGUGGCAGCUGUAUGGAUGACAAAAUUGCUAUAUGGAUGACAAAAUUCAAGAAACAAUAAGAGCAAAUUUUUGUUGACUUUAGACUAACUGGUAGCAAGUUUCCACUUGAGUCCACGUGGAAGAUUGUGUGGUGUAUAAGCAAAUGUACCGUAAUACACCAUACCGAAAAUGUACCAUACCAAAUAACAGCUACAAUCAAUGGGUAGCCAUUACUCACUAUGUCACCAAACAACUUAACCCCUUCCUGCAUCAAAUAAGCCCUUCAUGAGGGUAUUUAAGGUAAAAACAUCUGGUUCGUAACCAAAUUUUAGAAUUAUUGCAACGACUGCAAAACCCAAGUCCACACUGUUCAAUUGGCAAUAAGAUUUGAGCAAGAUGUUUAGCGUACAGACGUCGCUUUGAGUUGAGAAUUGAGCACCAUCUGUUUGUAUAAAUUCAAAGUGAUAAUGUAAUGUUUCAUUUUGGAAAUUGCCCCUAACAAAUGAUUGAAUGGAUAAAUAGACGGAGUGGAUCUUCUUUGAAGCAUUUGAUCAAACAGUUUGCGUGCUUCAUCAAGAUCCUGACCUACAUCGAUCUCUUCCGAAACAUUCUUCAAUCUUAUUAUUAGCAGAGUAAAUUUCAGUUUAGUUCGAGGGACAAACAGAGGUGGACCUACACAAAUUGCGAGCAACAGCAACAGUUCCAAGCCCUAGCAGGUAUCAUCUUUAUUUGAGCGAAUUUGAGAUUGCCCAUUGAUUUUAAUUGCCAAUUUGCGAUUGCCCAUUGGUUUCAACUAGGGCUGGGGAAAACUGAAGAACCGAACCAAACGCAACCGAACACUUUUGAAGGUGUUUAAGUGUUUGAUUGGUGUUUGAAAUUUUACAAAACACUUUAAAGGGUGUUCAUGUUUAGUUUAGCACUUUAGCCCAAGUUAAUUCAGCAGUCUUUAGUUAAGCCCAAGUUCAUUCAGCCCAUGUUAAAAGGUGUUCGGUUCGGUUUUGAUUUGGUUAACCGAACGGAACUACAUGUUCGGUUCGGUUUCGAUUUUUACAUAUUUUGAUCGGUUCGGUUUUGGGAAUCAAUAUGUUCGGUUUCGGUUGUGUUUAUUCCAAAACACCUGUUAGGCUGUUUAGCUUCAGUUUUGGUCAAAAUCGAACCAAACCGUGCCCAACCCUACUUUUAACUUUCAGGUGGUCAAACCACUAUUGACUCGGUCAAGUCUUUUUCUAAGUAGUUGGCAGUUAGAUACCACACUGGCAAGUCAAUUACACAUAAUCGUACAACAAGUUUAACAUCUGAUUGUUUUAAGAUUAAAAAAUUGUUGAAUCGAGAAAAAUCUAAGGGUCACAAUCAUUUGACUAUUAGACUUUGUCUUCCCCAAAUUUCAAGCUUAAAGCAAAAUCCUAAAUCCUCAAAUCUAUACACAAUAUUUGAAGGCGGCCACCAAAGAUGAAGGUAAAUGUUCUCUAGCCUAGGUUCUUGUUUUCUUCUUCAUUUCUUCUAAUGUUCUAAGUUCGAACUCUUCAUAAUUGAUAUUGACAGAUUAAUUCAUUGUAACUUUUCAUUUUCUCCUACUCCAACCUUUAGAGAGUUUUUUCACAGGUUUUUUCAUCUUGUUGAUUUUUUCCAUAGAUUUGCAAAAGAAAUGGUGGGUUAAAGAAGAUGAAUGAAAUUGGGUAUGUAGGGAAACCUAAACUUUGUUUUCUAACAAAAAAUGUUUUGUCUACAAAUGAGUUUAUAUCUAACGGUUAGAUCGAACUAAUAUCGUACAGUCAACAAUUAAUCACAAGUGUUCAAUUCUCUCUCUAACGUGUUAAUCCAACGUGGCUCAAGAAGGGUAUUCUUAGAAUAUUCAAUAAAUGACCGGGUCAAUGGUGGUCUGACCACCUGAAAAUUGAAAGUAGUGGGUAGUCUUAAAUUUUGUAAAAAUCAAUGGGUUCACAAGUGUUCAAUUCUCUCUCUAACGUGUUAAUCCAAUGUGGCUCAAGAAGGGUAUUCUUAGAAUAUUCAAUAAAUGACCGGGUCAAUGGUGGUUUGACCACCUGAAAAUUGAAAGUAGUGGGUAGUCUUAAAUUUUGUAAAAAUCAAUGGGUAAUCUCAAAUUGACAAUUAAAACCAGUGGACAACCUCAAAUUCGCGAUUUUUAUUGUUUUUUUAAGACAGUGAGAAAUGAAGCAACUCAAAUACUGAAAUACAGUAAAAGUCAUUAACUUAUCAUAGAUAAUCUUUAUUCACAUGGAUGGCAUGGGCGCAUAGCUACCAAGCCUUAUUAUACAACAGCAACAGAUAUACUUGUUGUCUUUUAUUUUAAUCAUACAUGAGGAUCAGUAGUGGUAAUCUCACAUAUAUUAAGUAAUUCGAGGUGGUCGAACAACCUUGCCCUGGGUAUUAACCCAAACCCAAACCCUGUCGCACCUGAAGUCCUUGGUCACAGGUGUUCCUUCCAGCAAAACUAUUGCAUUUACUAGUGGAUUCUCUUUUUCUAUCUUCGCUGCUGCAACCUCACCGUUGUAUCCCACCAGCUCAGGCCAUUCGCUUUUACCUUAACACAACAAUUUCAUAAAUAUUCAUUCAUUAGACACAAUUCUAUAAAAGUUAUUACUUAGGAGAAAUUAGAUACUGACCUUGACAAAAUUCUGCCAUUAUGCUUGUGUAGUGCUUCAAUGGU
Molecule: long non-coding RNA, 4630 nt
Filed under: Aquilegia coerulea
Lineage: Eukaryota; Viridiplantae; Streptophyta; Magnoliopsida; Ranunculales; Ranunculaceae
Description: long non-coding RNA (ACOE_LNC001250)
Source: RNAcentral